GGCUUCAUGGUCUAGUGGUAUGAUUCCUCUUUCGGGUAGAGGAGGCCCCGGGUUCGAAUCCCGGUGAAGCCC
RNAcentral lists this transfer RNA (72 nucleotides) under Nilaparvata lugens yeast-like symbiont. RNAcentral describes it as "tRNA-Pro (CGG) (tRNA-Pro-CGG-1-1)". It matches the Rfam family "tRNA". From Rfam's summary of the family: Transfer RNA (tRNA) molecules are approximately 80 nucleotides in length. Their secondary structure includes four short double-helical elements and three loops (D, anti-codon, and T loops). RNAcentral also lists the same sequence under 2 other names. Lineage: Eukaryota; Fungi; Ascomycota. The record is from RNAcentral.